RNAcentral lists this long non-coding RNA (247 nucleotides) under Capsicum annuum. RNAcentral describes it as "long non-coding RNA (CANN_LNC021380)". Lineage: Eukaryota; Viridiplantae; Streptophyta; Magnoliopsida; Solanales; Solanaceae. The record is from RNAcentral.
UCUACUGAUAAUGAUAAUGAUUGGUUGUAUCUGAGAUCAGGCUUAUCUAGUAGGUGAUCUCUAAAUCUACCGAUAAUGAAUAUGAUUUACUGAAAAUGAGGUCAAGCCUGUCUAACAGGUGAUCUCUGAAUCUAUGGAACUAUUUAAUUUCUUUACUAAGCUGAUUGACCAUAUCUGACAGUCCUGAUUUCUGUAUAGCUGAACUGAGUUCUAUUACUUAGACUGAAUCUGAAACUAAGACUGUAGG